RNAcentral lists this ribosomal RNA (473 nucleotides) under uncultured organism. Its description in RNAcentral is "partial 16S ribosomal RNA". It matches the Rfam family "Bacterial small subunit ribosomal RNA", at positions 332 to 797 of the family's 1533-position model. The record is from RNAcentral.
UACACUCCUGCGGGAGGCAGCAGUGGGGAAUAUUGCACAAUGGGCGCAAGCCUGAUGCAGCCAUGCCGCGUGUAUGAAGAAGGCCUUCGGGUUGUAAAGUACUUUCAGCGGGGAGGAAGGCGAUAAGGUUAAUAACCUUGUCGAUUGACGUUACCCGCAGAAGAAGCACCGGCUAACUCCGUGCCAGCAGCCGCGGUAAUACGGAGGGUGCAAGCGUUAAUCGGAAUUACUGGGCGUAAAGCGCACGCAGGCGGUCUGUCAAGUCGGAUGUGAAAUCCCCGGGCUCAACCUGGGAACUGCAUUCGAAACUGGCAGGCUAGAGUCUUGUAGAGGGGGGUAGAAUUCCAGGUGUAGCGGUGAAAUGCGUAGAGAUCUGGAGGAAUACCGGUGGCGAAGGCGGCCCCCUGGACAAAGACUGACGCUCAGGUGCGAAAGCGUGGGGAGCAAACAGGAUUAGAAACCCUUGUAGUCCC